Molecule: transfer RNA, 79 nt
Filed under: Corythucha ciliata (sycamore lace bug)
Lineage: Eukaryota; Metazoa; Arthropoda; Insecta; Hemiptera; Tingidae
Description: tRNA-Ser
Source: RNAcentral
AGCUAAUUAACUUAAAUAUAAAGUUUGUUUUUUGAAAAUACCCAAUGGAAAAUAGUAAUUCCCUUAGCUUAAUAAACUU